CCUAACACAUGCAAGUCGAGCGGUAACAUGCUUAGUAGCAAUACUAAGUGAUGACGAGCGGCGGACGGGUGAGGAACACGUAGGAACCUGCCCAAAAGUGGGGGAUAACUAAGGGAAACUUUAGCUAAUACCGAAUAAUUCACUGAGGAGAAAAGUUGCCCGUAAGGGUAGCGCUUUUGGAGGGGCCUGCGUCCGAUUAGUUAGUUGGUGAGGUAAUGGCUCACCAAGACUGUGAUCGGUAACUGGUCUGAGAGGACGACCAGUCACACUGGGACUGAGACACGGCUCAGACUCCUACGGGAGGCAGCAGUGGGGAAUCUUGGACAAUGGGGGCAACCCUGAUCCAGCGAUGCCGCGUGGGUGAAGAAGGCCUUCGGGUUGUAAAGCCCUUUAGGCUGGGAAGAAGAGUGUGGGAUGAAUAAUCCUGUACUUUGACGGUACCAGCAGAAUAAGCACCGGCAAACUCUGUGCCAGCAGCCGCCGUAA
Molecule: ribosomal RNA, 486 nt
Filed under: uncultured bacterium
Lineage: Bacteria
Description: partial 16S ribosomal RNA
Rfam family: Bacterial small subunit ribosomal RNA
Source: RNAcentral